CACGCACGCGUGACGUCAGAUCAAAUGAAGACGAGCCGCGCGAGGAGCUUGUUAUCGGCUCGAGCUAUCCCCAGCAGGUCGGCUGGCUGCCGGUCCCACCCUCCGCUCCGUCCCCUGUUCGCGUUAUAAGGCAAGGAGGCUCUUGAAACUGACUCAUAUCAUUAUUCUACAUGGGCGGCAUCUGUUUGGAGAACAUUUUGAUGAUAUCUUAAAAGCACUCACGGCUAAGAAGGCCUGACCCGGUCACUGAAGAGAUGACGAUUCACUAUUUCUAUGAGCUCCGCAAACCGCAACCAUGAUGCUGCAAAUACCCUGCUGAGUCACUCUAUGUAACAGUAGAUCUAAUUUCUAAAAUAGCAUUUUGUCAAUUAAGGAUAAAAGAGGGUGAGGUCCUGCAUCUGUAUUCAGACAUUACUCAUAUCCAUUCAGACUCAAGUUACACCUGAUUCUUAAAGCCCUUUAAAAGCCACACCAUCAAACGUAGCAUCUGUGCUUCCUGGUGCAAAAAAUGGUUCUUUUAAAGAUUUCCUCAUCAUCUCUCAUCAAACAAAACUAUCCCCAUUCACUCCUACAAUCAUAUUUUAAAAAUAUGAAAACAAACAGGGUGGUGGUGCUGGUGAGGUAACGCUGUAUUAAAUGCUGGAAAUGACAAUAGCUGAUGCUUCUUUAAAUUCAAAAUAGGAUUUCUUAAAAUAGCUUGGGACACAUUUAACACUGCAGUAGGGACAGUUUUGUCUAUUUUUCUUUUCAGAGUAAAAUACGCUUGCAUUACACUACACUUCUGGAUGUUGUGUUGCUUUUGUGUAUUAAAAAGAACAAGCUGUUUCCAGAAAAUGUAUACCAAACAAUGAAAAGUCCUUUAUUGCCAUCAGAACAUGAGUGAGAAAA
This is a long non-coding RNA of Archocentrus centrarchus (flier cichlid), 888 nucleotides long. RefSeq lists it as uncharacterized. The transcript is spliced from 3 exons. The record is from RefSeq and is a predicted model, not a curated record. NCBI's taxonomy places the organism in Eukaryota, Metazoa, Chordata, Actinopteri, Cichliformes, Cichlidae.